UGCAAGUCGAGCGAACUGAUUAGAAGCUUGCUUCUAUGACGUUAGCGGCGGACGGGUGAGUAACACGUGGGCAACCUGCCUGUAAGACUGGGAUAACUUCGGGAAACCGAAGCUAAUACCGGAUAGGAUCUUCUCCUUCAUGGGAGAUGAUUGAAAGAUGGUUUCGGCUAUCACUUACAGAUGGGCCCGCGGUGCAUUAGCUAGUUGGUGAGGUAACGGCUCACCAAGGCAACGAUGCAUAGCCGACCUGAGAGGGUGAUCGGCCACACUGGGACUGAGACACGGCCCAGACUCCUACGGGAGGCAGCAGUAGGGAAUCUUCCGCAAUGGACGAAAGUCUGACGGAGCAACGCCGCGUGAGUGAUGAAGGCUUUCGGGUCGUAAAACUCUGUUGUUAGGGAAGAACAAGUACGAGAGUAACUGCUCGUACCUUGACGGUACCUAACCAGAAAGCCACGGCUAACUACGUGCCAGCAGCCGCGGUAAUACGUAGGUGGCAAGCGUUAUCCGGAAUUAUUGGGCGUAAAGCGCGCGCAGGCGGUUUCUUAAGUCUGAUGUGAAAGCCCACGGCUCAACCGUGGAGGGUCAUUGGAAACUGGGGAACUUGAGUGCAGAAGAGAAAAGCGGAAUUCCACGUGUAGCGGUGAAAUGCGUAGAGAUGUGGAGGAACACCAGUGGCGAAGGCGGCUUUUUGGUCUGUAACUGACGCUGAGGCGC
RNAcentral lists this ribosomal RNA (717 nucleotides) under Priestia megaterium. RNAcentral's name for it is "bacterial SSU rRNA". It matches the Rfam family "Bacterial small subunit ribosomal RNA", at positions 56 to 754 of the family's 1533-position model. Lineage: Bacteria; Bacillati; Bacillota; Bacilli; Caryophanales; Bacillaceae. The record is from RNAcentral.